CCUACGGGAGGCAGCAGUGAGGAAUAUUGGUCAAUGGACGCAAGUCUGAACCAGCCAUGCCGCGUGCAGGAAGACGGCUCUAUGAGUUGUAAACUGCUUUUGUACGAGGGUAAACGCCGAUUCGCGUAUCUGUCUGAAAGUAUCGUACGAAUAAGGAUCGGCUAACUCCGUGCCAGCAGCCGCGGUAAUACGGAGGAUUCAAGCGUUAUCCGGAUUUAUUGGGUUUAAAGGGUGCGUAGGCGGUCGGAUAAGUUAGAGGUGAAAUCCCGAGGCUCAACUUCGGAAUUGCCUUUGAUACUGUUCGGCUAGAGUGUAGUAGAGGUAGGCGGAAGGUAUGGUGUAGCGGUGAAAUGCUUAGAGAUAAUACAGAACACCGAUUGCGAAGGCAGCUUACCAAGCUACAACUGACGUUGAGGCACGAAAGCGUGGGGAGCGAACAGGAUUAGAUACCCUGGUAGUC
RNAcentral lists this ribosomal RNA (460 nucleotides) under uncultured bacterium. RNAcentral's name for it is "partial 16S ribosomal RNA". It matches the Rfam family "Bacterial small subunit ribosomal RNA", at positions 338 to 795 of the family's 1533-position model. The record is from RNAcentral.